AUUGAACGCUGGCGGCAUGCCUUACACAUGCAAGUCGAACGGCAGCACGGACUUCGGUCUGGUGGCGCGUGGCGAACGGGUGAGUAAUGUAUCGGAACGUACCUUUCAGUGGGGGAUAACGUAGCGAAAGUUACGCUAAUACCGCAUAUUCUGUGAGCAGGAAAGCAGGGGAUCGAAAGACCUUGCGCUGAUUGAGCGGCCGAUAUCGGAUUAGCUAGUUGGUGGGGUAAAGGCCUACCAAGGCGACGAUCGGUAGCGGGACUGAGAGGAUGAUCGGCCACACUGGAACGGAGACACGGUCCAGACUCCUACGGGAGGCAGCAGUGGGGAAUUUUGGACAAUGGGGGAAAACCUGAUCCAGCCAUGCCGCGUGAGUGAAGAAGGCCUUCGGGUUGUAAAGCUCUUUCGGCAGGGAAGAAAUAGUAUAGGCUAAUACCCUGAGUGGGUGACGGUACCGGAAUAAGAAGCACCGGCUAACUACGUG
This 484-nucleotide ribosomal RNA is filed under the name uncultured bacterium. RNAcentral describes it as "partial 16S ribosomal RNA". It matches the Rfam family "Bacterial small subunit ribosomal RNA", at positions 30 to 507 of the family's 1533-position model. The record is from RNAcentral.